RNAcentral lists this ribosomal RNA (254 nucleotides) under uncultured bacterium. RNAcentral's name for it is "partial 16S ribosomal RNA". It matches the Rfam family "Bacterial small subunit ribosomal RNA", at positions 524 to 776 of the family's 1533-position model. The record is from RNAcentral.
UACGAAGGGGGGCUAGCGUUGCUCGGAAUCACUGGGCGUAAAGGGCGCGUAGGCGGCCGAUUAAGUCGGGGGUGAAAGCCUGUGGCUCAACCACAGAAUUGCCUUCGAUACUGGUUGGCUUGAGACCGGAAGAGGACAGCGGAACUGCGAGUGUAGAGGUGAAAUUCGUAGAUAUCGGGAGGAACACCAGUGGCGAAGGCGGCGAUCUGGGAAGAUACUGACGCUGAGGUGCGAAAGCGUGGGGAGCAAACAGG